This 83-nucleotide transfer RNA is filed under the name Candidatus Uabimicrobium amorphum. RNAcentral describes it as "Uabimicrobium amorphum tRNA". It matches the Rfam family "tRNA". Rfam says of the family: Transfer RNA (tRNA) molecules are approximately 80 nucleotides in length. Their secondary structure includes four short double-helical elements and three loops (D, anti-codon, and T loops). RNAcentral also lists the same sequence under 1 other name. The record is from Rfam by way of RNAcentral. Lineage: Bacteria; Pseudomonadati; Planctomycetota; Candidatus Uabimicrobiia; Candidatus Uabimicrobiales; Candidatus Uabimicrobiaceae.
GGUGGUGUACCCAAGUGGCCAAAGGGGGUAGACUGUAAAUCUACUGACGGACGUCUUCGAAGGUUCGAAUCCUUCCGCCACCA